Molecule: ribosomal RNA, 201 nt
Filed under: uncultured bacterium
Lineage: Bacteria
Description: partial 16S ribosomal RNA
Rfam family: Bacterial small subunit ribosomal RNA
Source: RNAcentral
GUAGUCUGCAACUCGACUACAUGAAGCUGGAAUCGCUAGUAAUCGCGAAUCAGCAUGUCGCGGUGAAUACGUUCCCGGGUCUUGUACACACCGCCCGUCACACCAUGGGAGUCGGAAAUGCCCGAAGUCAGUGACCCAACCGCAAGGAGGGAGCUGCCGAAGGCAGGCUCGAUAACUGGGGUGAAGUCGUAACAAGGUACC